GAUAACGAGCAAAGAGGGGCAGCUGUAAUACCAAUUAUUGCCUGGUAAAAAAAUGAACCGAAACAGAAAGUAAAAAACCCAAAUAAAGAGUCCAUUUACAUGGCCCAACAUCUUCAUCAAUUUCAAACCCAAUAACAGCCCCAAAGCCCAAGUUUGCAGCCCUUAACGCCAAAAAGCAGAAACCCUAAGCUAGCUGCAGCAGCCACCAGCAAGAUCCCGAUCGCCGUAGGACUCGGAGAUCCUCCUUCACGUUUGCUCCACGAUUUCCUGCAAAAAAAUAGACUCAAAGAGCCCGAUUGAGAUAAAACAGCAACAAUAAUUAGUGAAAUUUGAUUUUAUUUUUUCUUUUUUCGAUUUUUCGGGCUAUAAAAGCCUUUGGGAAAUCUGUAAG
Molecule: long non-coding RNA, 391 nt
Filed under: Gossypium raimondii (Peruvian cotton)
Lineage: Eukaryota; Viridiplantae; Streptophyta; Magnoliopsida; Malvales; Malvaceae
Description: long non-coding RNA (GRAI_LNC002959)
Source: RNAcentral